Trichonephila clavipes is the source of this 92-nucleotide non-coding RNA. NCBI's taxonomy places the organism in Eukaryota, Metazoa, Arthropoda, Arachnida, Araneae, Nephilidae. The record is from the annotation of a GenBank genome assembly.
GUUCAGGAGUCCGAUGGCUGGAGCGGUUUAAGAUGCCAGAUUUAAGCUCUGGUUCUCGAAAGAGAGCGAGGGUUCGAACCCCUCUCCUGACA